AGUGAACGCUGGCGGUAGGCCUAACACAUGCAAGUCGAACGGCAGCACAGUAAGAGCUUGCUCUUACGGGUGGCGAGUGGCGGACGGGUGAGGAAUACAUCGGAAUCUACUUUUUCGUGGGGGAUAACGUAGGGAAACUUACGCUAAUACCGCAUACGACCAACGGGUGAAAGCAGGGGAUCUUCGGACCUUGCGCGAUUGAAUGAGCCGAUGUCGGAUUAGCUAGUUGGCAGGGUAAAGGCCCACCAAGGCGACGAUCCGUAGCUGGUCUGAGAGGAUGAUCAGCCACACUGGAACUGAGACACGGUCCAGACUCCUACGGGAGGCAGCAGUGGGGAAUAUUCGACAAUGGGCGCAAGCCUGCUCCAGCCAUACCGCGUGAGUGAAGAAGGCCUUCGGGUUGUAAAGCCCUUUUGUUGGGAAAGAACAGCAGCAUGUUAAUCCCCCGCUGUUCUGACGGUACCCAAAGAAUAAGCACCGGCUAACUUCGUG
This 492-nucleotide ribosomal RNA is filed under the name uncultured bacterium. RNAcentral's name for it is "partial 16S ribosomal RNA". It matches the Rfam family "Bacterial small subunit ribosomal RNA", at positions 29 to 507 of the family's 1533-position model. The record is from RNAcentral.